Molecule: long non-coding RNA, 1218 nt
Organism: Octopus bimaculoides (California two-spot octopus)
Lineage: Eukaryota; Metazoa; Mollusca; Cephalopoda; Octopoda; Octopodidae
Source: RefSeq, a predicted model, not a curated record
UUCUCCACACUGCUGUAAGAAAAUACUUCAGCAGCAACUUAGAUAAAAAGGAAAGCAAAACAACGUAUGGAAGAAAUACUGACAUAAAACAAAAAUAAUUGCUAAAUCAGAAUAUAAUGAUUUCUUCAAUAAGAGAAGAAUUCUAAUACAUUUCGAUGAAUUAACAGGGUUUCGAUGUUUGGAAGCAGAUCAAAAAGAAGACCUCAGAAGAUGCAGUCACAACAAACUAGUAACCAUGCUCCCUACAAAAGAAGUAUUACAGGAAGGCAAGAUAGCAUAAGGCCUGAAAUUUGGCGGAGAGGGAUAGUCAAUUACAUCGAUACCAGUACUCAACUGGUAUUUAAUUUAAUUUAUCGACCCCUGAAAGGAUAAAAGGCAAAGUCAACCCUGGCGGAACUUGAAAUCAGAAUGCAGCAACAGGCAAAAUACUUCUAAGCAUUUCGCCCAGCAUGCUAACAAUUCUGCCAGCUCACCACCUUAAUAAUAAUAAUGAUAAUGAAAAUAAUGGUUUCAAAUUUUGCCACAAGGGUAGGUAUUCUGGGGGAGGGGAUGAGUCGAUUACAUUAACUGCAGUACUCAACAGGCACUUAUUUUAUCAAAAGUUCUAACAAAAUAUGAAAAAAAAAGUUAUUGUUUCAGAAUAAGCAACCCUAUUAUUUUAUUUUUAAUUUUCUUAGAAUUUGUUCAGAUUUUUAUUUGUUACCUUAAACAAGUAAUUACAAGAAAUCUAAAUUACAUAUUUAUUAAUUUUAAAAUUCAUGAGUAAUUAAAAAAGUUAGCUUUAAAUAAAAUUAUAUCAAUAAAAAUAUAUUCCAACAUAAUGAUUUUUCAUAGGUUCCCACAACUAGUUUUGGCAACUGGAAAACCUUUGGGAUUAAAAUCACUAUUAAAAUUAUUGAUAUUUGUCAUUUAACACACUUCACAACCCAAUAUCCCCAACUUACAUCAAGAUGAAUAAACCAAAACUAGGUACCACCUAAAAUGUUAAUUUUUUUCCCUUCUUCCUCAAGUGAAACCUGUUUAGUCCCUUUUUGAACUGCUUAAACUCACUAAUUUCCAACAUAGACCAUCACUAGUUUUCUCAGAUCUUACUGUUUACUUUAAUACAUAUAUGGCUUCAUAUAUGAGGUUAAGGUUAACAACAGCAAAUAACAAAUUACUGACAUAUCAAACUACUGGCCCAGCAAUUUAUAAAUUGUUCCACAAAGUAGAUGACCU